Non-coding RNA from Bacteroidetes bacterium 4484_276, 192 nucleotides. NCBI's taxonomy places the organism in Bacteria, Pseudomonadati, Bacteroidota. The record is from Rfam.
CCUGCUGUUCUCCCAGCAGUACCCUACCGGGACAACUGAUGUAUGGCUUGCCCCGUGAAAUAAAAGCUUUGCUAUUUAACGGGGUGAACAAUUAUUGGUCGAAGCUCCCGGGAAAUUGUACAUUCCUUAACUGCCGUCAGAAGGAAGGAGCGAAAAAGAGAAUGAUACGCUCUGUAUCAAAAUGGUGAGCUG